GGUUAUGGCUCAGCUCUAGAGCACGUGCUCAGCAAGCAUGGGGUCCUGGGUUCAAUCCCCAGUACCUCCA
Molecule: transfer RNA, 70 nt
Filed under: Camelus bactrianus (Bactrian camel)
Lineage: Eukaryota; Metazoa; Chordata; Mammalia; Artiodactyla; Camelidae
Also listed under: 2 other names
Rfam family: tRNA
About the family: Transfer RNA (tRNA) molecules are approximately 80 nucleotides in length. Their secondary structure includes four short double-helical elements and three loops (D, anti-codon, and T loops).
Source: Rfam by way of RNAcentral